CCUACGGGAGGCAGCAGUAGGGAAUCUUCCACAAUGGACGAAAGUCUGAUGGAGCAACGCCGCGUGAGUGAAGAAGGGUUUCGGCUCGUAAAGCUCUGUUGGUAGUGAAGAAAGAUAGAGGUAGUAACUGGCCUUUAUUUGACGGUAAUUACUUAGAAAGUCACGGCUAACUACGUGCAAGCAGCCGCGGUAAUACGGAGGUGGCAAGCGUUGUCCGGAUUUUUUGGGCGUAAAGCGAGUGCAGGCGGUUCAAUAAGUCUGAUGUGAAAGCCUUCGGCUCAACCGGAGAAUUGCAUCAGAAACUGUUGAACUUGAGUGCAGAAGAGGAGAGUGGAACUCCAUGUGUAGCGGUGGAAUGCGUAGAUAUAUGGAAGAACACCAGUGGCGAAGGCGGCUCUCUGGUCUGCAACUGACGCUGAGGCUCGAAAGCAUGGGUAGCGAACAGGAUUAGAUACCCGAGUAGUC
This 465-nucleotide ribosomal RNA is filed under the name uncultured bacterium. Its description in RNAcentral is "partial 16S ribosomal RNA". It matches the Rfam family "Bacterial small subunit ribosomal RNA", at positions 338 to 795 of the family's 1533-position model. The record is from RNAcentral.